GCCCAAUUUCGCACGUGCCUGUGGCCGCGUGUCGGUUGGUGGGCAUCCGGUCAACUGCCGGACAGCCGCCAGGGGUCUUAAAGGAUCGAUGGUCGCAAGGGUGGAUCCCUACGGCCGGCAUCCAGGUGGCAACACCGGACCCCGACAACAACCGGCAGCCGGAGGCGAAACCGGCGAACCCCGCUCUCCACGGGGGACGCAGCUUAAAGCAACGACGAACGGGCUUUU
This is a non-coding RNA of Methylobacterium radiotolerans JCM 2831, 228 nucleotides long. NCBI's taxonomy places the organism in Bacteria, Pseudomonadati, Pseudomonadota, Alphaproteobacteria, Hyphomicrobiales, Methylobacteriaceae. The record is from Rfam.